AUUGAACGCUGGCGGCAGGCCUAACACAUGCAAGUCGAGCGGAUGAAGGGAGCUUGCUCCUGGAUUCAGCGGCGGACGGGUGAGUAAUGCCUAGGAAUCUGCCUGGUAGUGGGGGAUAACGUCCUGAAACGGGCGCUAAUACCGCAUACGUCCUGAGGGAGAAAGUGGGGGAUCUUCGGACCUCACGCUAUCAGAUGAGCCUAGGUCGGAUUAGCUAGUUGGUGGGGUAAAGGCCUACCAAGGCGACGAUCCGUAACUGGUCUGAGAGGAUGAUCAGUCACACUGGAACGGAGACACGGUCAAGACUCCUACGGGAGGCAGCAGUGGGGAAUAUUGGACAAUGGGCGAAAGCCUGAUACAGCGAUGCCGAGUGUGUGAAGAAGGUCUUCGGAUUGUAAAGCACUCUAAGUUGGGAGGAAGGGCAGUAAGUUAAUACCUUGCUGUUUUGACGUUAACAACAGAAUAAGCACCGGCUAACUUCGUG
RNAcentral lists this ribosomal RNA (484 nucleotides) under uncultured bacterium. RNAcentral describes it as "partial 16S ribosomal RNA". It matches the Rfam family "Bacterial small subunit ribosomal RNA", at positions 30 to 507 of the family's 1533-position model. The record is from RNAcentral.